UACGGAGGGAGCUAGCGUUGUUCGGAAUUACUGGGCGUAAAGCGCGCGUAGGCGGCUUUGUAAGUUAGAGGUGAAAGCCCGGGGCUCAACCCCGGAACUGCCUUUAAAACUGCAUCGCUUGAAUCCGGGAGAGGUGAGUGGAAUUCCGAGUGUAGAGGUGAAAUUCGUAGAUAUUCGGAAGAACACCAGUGGCGAAGGCGGCUCACUGGACUGGUAUUGACGCUGAGGUGCGAAAGCGUGGGGAGCAAACAGG
Molecule: ribosomal RNA, 253 nt
Filed under: uncultured bacterium
Lineage: Bacteria
Description: partial 16S ribosomal RNA
Rfam family: Bacterial small subunit ribosomal RNA
Source: RNAcentral